This 384-nucleotide ribosomal RNA is filed under the name uncultured bacterium. Its description in RNAcentral is "bacterial SSU rRNA". It matches the Rfam family "Bacterial small subunit ribosomal RNA", at positions 30 to 416 of the family's 1533-position model. The record is from RNAcentral.
AUUGAACGCUGGCGGCAUGCCUUACACAUGCAAGUCGAACGGCAGCGGACCUUCGGGUGCCGGCGAGUGGCGAACGGGUGAGUAAUGCAUCGGAACGUGCCAUUGAGUGGGGGAUAACGUAGCGAAAGUUACGCUAAUACCGCAUAUUCUGUGAGCAGGAAAGCAGGGGACCGCAAGGCCUUGCGCUCUUUGAGCGGCCGAUGUCAGAUUAGCUAGUUGGUGAGGUAAAGGCUUACCAAGGCGACGAUCUGUAGCGGGUCUGAGAGGAUGAUCCGCCACACUGGAACUGAGACACGGUCCAGACUCCCACGGGAGGCAGCAGUGGGGAAUUUUGGACAAUGGGCGCAAGCCUGAUCCAGCCAUGCCGCGUGAGUGAAGAAGGCC